RNAcentral lists this ribosomal RNA (401 nucleotides) under uncultured bacterium. Its description in RNAcentral is "bacterial SSU rRNA". It matches the Rfam family "Bacterial small subunit ribosomal RNA", at positions 356 to 774 of the family's 1533-position model. The record is from RNAcentral.
AGGGAAUCUUGGACAAUGGGCGAAAGCCUGAUCCAGCCAUGCCGCGUGAGUGAUGAAGGCCUUAGGGUUGUAAAGCUCUUUCGCCAGGGAAGAUAAUGACGGUACCUGGAUAAGAAGCCCCGGCAAACUUCGUGCCAGCAGCCGCGGUAAUACGAAGGGGGCUAGCGUUGUUCGGAAUUACUGGGCGUAAAGCGCACGUAGGCGGUUUUCCAAGUUGGAGGUGAAAUCCCUGGGUUCAACCCGGGAACUGCCUCCAAAACUGGAUGACUCGAGUCCGAGAGAGGUGAGUGGAAUUUCCAGUGUAGAGGUGAAAUUCGUAGAUAUUGGAAAGAACACCGGUGGCGAAGGCGGCUCACUGGCUCGGUACUGACGCUGAGGUGCGACAGCGUGGGGAGCAAACA